RNAcentral lists this ribosomal RNA (510 nucleotides) under uncultured bacterium. Its description in RNAcentral is "partial 16S ribosomal RNA". It matches the Rfam family "Bacterial small subunit ribosomal RNA", at positions 28 to 507 of the family's 1533-position model. The record is from RNAcentral.
GACGAACGCUGGCGGCGUGCUUAACACAUGCAAGUCGAACGAAGAGCGAUGGAACCUGGCUUCUUUCAAUCUUAGUGGCGCACGGGUGAGUCACACGUAAUCAACCUGCCCUUCAGAGGGGGACAACAGUUGGAAACGACUUCUAAUACCGCAUACGAUCUAAUCUCGUCAUCGAGGAUAGAUGAACGGUGUCCUCUACAUGUAAGCUUUCACUGAAGGAGGGGAUUGGGUCUGAUUAGCUAGGUGGGGGGGGAACGGCCCACCAAGGCGAUGAUCAGUAGCCGGUCCGGGAGGAGGAACGGCCACAAUGGGACUGAGACACGGCCCAGACUCCUACGGGAGGCAGCAGGGGGGAAUCUUCCGGAAUAGACGGAAGGCUGACGGAGCAACGCCGCGUGAGUGAUGACGGCCUUCGGGUUGGAAAGCUCUGUUAAUCGGGACGAAAGGACUUCUUGAGAAUAGUGGGAAGGAUUGACGGUACCGGAUCAGAAAGCCACGGCUAACUACGUG